AAGCAACUCCAAUCAAUGCUCAUCAUUGGAAUGAGUGUGCAGCUCCCAUAGAGUCUACUUGAAGGCAAUGGCCCAGUCUGCUCUAAAUCCCCUUCCCUGUCUGAGAAGCAAAGGCUCUGGGAGUGAGCCCUGCCCAUGUAGGAGAAGCAAGAGUUUGGGACCCUUGGGCAGGAAACAACAGAUGUAAGAGCCUACCAGAUCCAUGGAGACUCUCCCUCUGCAUUCCUCAUCUUCUUAACCUUUACUGUCUGCUAAAAGAGGAUUGAGAAGGAAAGCUGGCCAACUCCUCAGCUAA
Molecule: long non-coding RNA, 295 nt
Organism: Gracilinanus agilis (Agile Gracile Mouse Opossum)
Lineage: Eukaryota; Metazoa; Chordata; Mammalia; Didelphimorphia; Didelphidae
Exons: 3
Source: RefSeq, a predicted model, not a curated record